CCGGCGCACGGGUGCGUAACGCGUAUGCAACCUACCAUCAACAGGGGGAUAACACUGAGAAAUUGGUACUAAUACCCCAUAAUAUCUCAUGCGGCAUCGCAUGGGGUUGAAAACUCCGGUGGGUUGAUGAUGGGCAUGCGUUGUAUUAGCUGGUUGGUGAGGUAACGGCUCACCAAGGCGACGAUACAUAGGGGGACUGAGAGGUUAACCCCCCACAUUGGUACUGAGACACGGACCAAACUCCUACGGAAGGCAGCAG
This 259-nucleotide ribosomal RNA is filed under the name uncultured bacterium. Its description in RNAcentral is "partial 16S ribosomal RNA". It matches the Rfam family "Bacterial small subunit ribosomal RNA", at positions 95 to 354 of the family's 1533-position model. The record is from RNAcentral.